GGUUCGUAAGUNCAGAUGGAAAGCCUUUUGUUCAACGGAAGAAUUGCAUCUGAAACUCGAGUCUUGAGUGUAGGAGGGGAGAAUGGGGACUUCUGGUGAGCGGUGAAAUGCGUAGAUAUCAGAAGGAACGCCGGCGUACGAAAAGCGUUCUCUGGCCCUAUUACUGACACUCAGUGUGGCGAAAAGCUGAGGGGAGCAACGGNAUUAGUACCCCGGUAGUCCUAGCCGUAAACGAUGGCACUAAGUGAGGGAAUUCCGAUGUUCUCUCUGCCGUGCUAACGCAUUAAGUGCCCGCCUGGGGAGGUACGGCCGCGAAGGCUAAAAUACUCAAAAGAAAUUGACGGGGGCUCGCACAACGGUGGAGCUGUGGUUUAUAUUCGAUGCAUGAACGCGAAGAACUUACCGGGGCUUGACAUGUAGAAGUAGAACCCGAAAUGGGCAACGAACGGUAUCCAGGAUCCGUAACUAUUCACAGGUGUGCAUGGCUGCGUCAGCUCGUGACGUGAGACGUUGGGUUGGAAGCCCCCUAACGAGCGAAACCUUGUUUUUAGUUACCAGCGGGUUAUGCCGGGUACUCUAGAAAGACUGCCGUCGUCAAACGGAGGAAGGUGGGGAUGACGUCAAGUCAUCAUGGCCCUGUUAUGCCCCGGGCUACACACUGCUACAAUGGUCGGUACAUAAACGGAAGCGUG
Molecule: ribosomal RNA, 692 nt
Filed under: Candidatus Scalindua brodae
Lineage: Bacteria; Pseudomonadati; Planctomycetota; Candidatus Brocadiia; Candidatus Brocadiales; Candidatus Scalinduaceae
Description: bacterial SSU rRNA
Rfam family: Bacterial small subunit ribosomal RNA
Source: RNAcentral